RNAcentral lists this long non-coding RNA (790 nucleotides) under Phoenix dactylifera (date palm). Its description in RNAcentral is "long non-coding RNA (PDAC_LNC009197)". Lineage: Eukaryota; Viridiplantae; Streptophyta; Magnoliopsida; Arecales; Arecaceae. The record is from RNAcentral.
CAAAAUUUUGUUCGUCCUUUCCUGCCCACCUAAAAAUAUGCUAGACCGAUCGUUGUUAGAACCGACGAACAAAAGUUAAAUUUAAUUUACUGUUACCUGGUUUACUCGAGGAAUAGUGGUUGUAAGAGGUCGAUCCACAGGGAGGCGAUUGGAGUUGCUUAAAAAUAAAAACGUUCACUCGGAUUCAAAAGCGAUUUUUGAAUAAUAGAAGAAAAACAUUAUAUCGGGGAUGAUGAUGGAAUCUCUAGUCUACCGGAGAAUGAUUUUUAAUUGAAAUUAACUAGACGACAUGUACUCAGAUUCAAAAAACAUUUUUAAUGAAAAAUAAAGCUCGGCAUAAAAUUAAAAUGGAUGAAACUAAGAGGAUUGAAGCAAACAUAAAUUUCAUAAAAGAAGAUUUAAUGUAUUGCAUAAAAGAAAUUAAAAUUUCAGCAUAAAUAAAAUCUUAAAAGUAAAACACUCCACCAAAAUAAAAUUCUCUAAAGUUAAAACUUAAAACAUUGUUCUCAAUUAAAACUCAAACUCAAAACACAUUGCUCUUAAUUAAAAUAACAAUAAACAUAAAACAUUGCCCUUAAAAAUAAAACUAAACAUGAAAAGAAAAAUAAAAAGAAUAAAAAAAAAAACAAAACAAAGCACUGGCUCUGUUUGAAAACAGAGCAUCAACACUUCUUCUUCCUCCAACCGAGCCGAGCACCCCCUAUUCCUCCUCUGUUUCUUUGGCUCAACACCCCGCCGAGAGCUCCCUCCUCCCUUCUUCUUCUUUGGACUCCGCCGGCUCCUCCCACUC